Molecule: non-coding RNA, 22 nt
Filed under: Arabidopsis thaliana (thale cress)
Lineage: Eukaryota; Viridiplantae; Streptophyta; Magnoliopsida; Brassicales; Brassicaceae
Source: RNAcentral
AGGGAAACGACUUUGUAUGUUA